RNAcentral lists this ribosomal RNA (424 nucleotides) under uncultured bacterium. RNAcentral's name for it is "bacterial SSU rRNA". It matches the Rfam family "Bacterial small subunit ribosomal RNA", at positions 361 to 776 of the family's 1533-position model. The record is from RNAcentral.
AUAUUGCGCAAUGGGGGCAACCCUGACGCAGCAAUGCCGCGUGAGUGAGGAAGGCCUUCGGGUUGUAAAGCUCUGUCCUUAGGGAAAAAUGGGUAGGUGUCGAAUAGGCGCUUACUUUGAUGGUACCUGAGAAGAAAGCACCGGCUAACUUCGUGCCAGCAGCCGCGGUAAUACGAAGGGUGCAAGCGUUGUUCGGAUUUAUUGGGCGUAAAGCGUGCGCAGGCGGGUUCGCAAGUCAGGUGUGAAAUCUCGAGGCUUAACCUCGAAAUUGCGCCUGAAACUGCAAGUCUAGAAUGUCGGAGAGGGAAGGGGAAUAUCUCAUGUAGGGGUAAAAUCCGUAGAUAUGAGAUGGAACACCAGAGGCGAAGGCGCCUUCCUGGACGACUAUUGACGCUGAGGCACGAAAGCGUGGGGAGCAAACAGG